UUCAAGUGUCUGUUCCAUUCAGUAUGUUGUCGAUGUUUUUCUUUUGUCAGCCAUAGAUCGCAUAAGGGUGAUUUUUGGAACUGAACAACUGGAUGAUAAGAAAACGCUUAAGUAUUAUAAUAUCACACAUGGAUCUGUUCUUAUCUUUGUGAUGAGAACGGAUGGUGGAAAAAAAGAAGGUGAAACUAGUGGUGAAGGAGCAGAAGGUGGAGGACUUCGCAGGACUGAAUCCAUGGAAAGACUUCACGUAAAAAUGUAGUUAUAUGUUAGACUCUCUUGGCAUUCAGAAUUUAUUGUUUCACAUAUUGCAAAAAACACUGAUUUUUCCUAGAGGUUUGGUCAACUUGUCUCAGAAUGUCUCAGACAAUUUUCAAAGAGAGAUUUGGCUUGCAAAAUGAGUGAUGAAAAACAGCAAUAUAGGAGCCCUUAUGUUGUAUUUUUGCACCAAAGUAGACUUUUUCCUACAUUCAAACAUGUUCAUAUGUUGUAUUUUUAAAACUGCAUAACAACAACAUCAGUGCAUCGCCCAAAUAAUUAAAGUGUUACAUUAAAUAAAUAAAUAAAAAUGUU
Molecule: long non-coding RNA, 570 nt
Organism: Ctenopharyngodon idella (grass carp)
Lineage: Eukaryota; Metazoa; Chordata; Actinopteri; Cypriniformes; Xenocyprididae
Exons: 2
Source: RefSeq, a predicted model, not a curated record